RNAcentral lists this ribosomal RNA (484 nucleotides) under uncultured bacterium. Its description in RNAcentral is "bacterial SSU rRNA". It matches the Rfam family "Bacterial small subunit ribosomal RNA", at positions 28 to 507 of the family's 1533-position model. The record is from RNAcentral.
GAUGAACGCUAGCGGCAGGCCUAACACAUGCAAGUCGAGGGGCAGCACAGGUAGCAAUACUGGGUGGCGACCGGCGGAUGGGUGCGUAACGCGUAUGCAACCUACCAUUGAUUGGGGCAUAGCCCGAAGAAAUUCGGAUUAAUACUCCAUAAUAUUCAUCAAAGGCAUCUUUUAUGAAUUAAAGCUUUUGCGAUCAAUGAUGGGCAUGCGUGACAUUAGUUAGUUGGUGAGGUAACGGCUCACCAAAACGAUGAUGUCUAGGGGUUCUGAGAGGAUUAUCCCCCACACUGGUACUGAGACACGGACCAGACUCCUACGGGAGGCAGCAGUGAGGAAUAUUGGUCAAUGGACGCAAGUCUGAACCAGCCAUGCCGCGUGCAGGAUGACGGCCCUAUGGGUUGUAAACUGCUUUUCCACGGGAAGAACCCUCCGACGUGUCGGAGACUGACGGUACCGUGGGAAUAAGCAAUCGGCUAACUCCGUG